AAUGGCACUGGAAGAAUUCACGGG
Molecule: non-coding RNA, 24 nt
Filed under: Daphnia pulex (common water flea)
Lineage: Eukaryota; Metazoa; Arthropoda; Branchiopoda; Diplostraca; Daphniidae
Also listed under: 25 other names
Source: RNAcentral